ACGGGAGGCAGCAGUGGGGAAUAUUGCACAAUGGGCGCAAGCCUGAUGCAGCCAUGCCGCGUGUAUGAAGAAGGCCUUCGGGUUGUAAAGUACUUUCAGCGGGGAGGAAGGUGUUGAGGUUAAUAACCUCAGCAAUUGACGUUACCCGCAGAAGAAGCACCGGCUAACUCCGUGCCAGCAGCCGCGGUAAUACGGAGGGUGCAAGCGUUAAUCGGAAUUACUGGGCGUAAAGCGCACGCAGGCGG
Molecule: ribosomal RNA, 245 nt
Filed under: Enterobacter hormaechei
Lineage: Bacteria; Pseudomonadati; Pseudomonadota; Gammaproteobacteria; Enterobacterales; Enterobacteriaceae
Also listed under: 1 other name
Description: partial 16S ribosomal RNA
Rfam family: Bacterial small subunit ribosomal RNA
Source: RNAcentral